RNAcentral lists this unclassified non-coding RNA (199 nucleotides) under uncultured Sebacinaceae. RNAcentral's name for it is "sequence contains ITS1". The record is from RNAcentral. Lineage: Eukaryota; Fungi; Basidiomycota; Agaricomycetes; Sebacinales; Sebacinaceae.
ACGAAACUUCAGUCGGCUUUUGUUAUCUGUGCUGGUGGCAUCACAUGUGCACGUUAACAAGUCGGCAUAUCCACACACCUGUGCACCGCAUGACUCCGAGUGGCCCUUUGUGUGCCGACAGGCCUGGCAACUCGAGAGUAUUUUUUAACACACUCUUGAAUGUAAUGGAAUGUCUACUGUGCAUAAUGUACAAAAGAAA